This 5325-nucleotide long non-coding RNA is filed under the name Marmota monax (woodchuck). Lineage: Eukaryota; Metazoa; Chordata; Mammalia; Rodentia; Sciuridae. The record is from RNAcentral.
UAGGUUUUCUGGCUGUCUACAACUAAAAAUAAUUUUUUUUAUAUACCAAUGACAUUUUUUACAGAACUAGAAAAAACAAAGUCCUGAAAUUCAUUUGUAAGAAUAAGACCCAGAGUAGCCAAACAAUCCUGAGCAAGAAGAGGAAUGCUGGAGACAUCCCAGUGCCUGAUCCUGUACCACAGAGCUAUAGUAACCAAACCAGCAUUGAUAUUGGCAUCAAAGUCGACAAGAAAAUCAGUGGAAUUGACAAGAGACAAAUUCACAUACCCACAAAGGUGCCAAAAACAUGUUGGAAAAAAGACAACCUUUUCAACAAAUGGUGCUGGGAACACUGGAUAUCCAUAUGCAGAAGAGUGAAACUAGAUUCCUACCUAUUGGCACAAAAGUCACAUCAAAAUGGGUCAGACUUAAUAAAUUAGACUAGGAACACUGAAACUGCUAGAAGAAAACAUAGGGUCAAUACUCCAACAUACUGGCACAGGCACCAAUUUCCUUAACCAGACUCCUAAUGUGUAAGCAAUAAAACCAACAAUAAGUGGGAUGUCAUCAAAUUUUCAAACUUCUGCACAGCAAAGAAAAUGCAUGUGAAGAGAGCCUACAAAAUAACUAAACAGACAUUUCUCAAGAAAAGUAACAGAUGACCAACAAAUAUAUGAAAAAAUGUUCACUCUAGCAAUCAGGGAAAUGCAAAUCAAAACCACACUAAGAUUUCACCUCAUUCCAGUCAAAAUAACAAUUAUCAAGAAUACAGAUAAUAAAUGUUCAAAUCUCUUUGAACAAUAUGAUAGGCAUAGCUUCCAGGGUCCCCAGGAUAUGAGGGAAAAGGUACACCUGCAAAUUAGUACAACCACUCUAGAAAGUAGUAUGGAGAGUCCUCAAAAAACUAGGAAUCGAACCACUAUAUGACCCAGCUGUAUUCCCUGGUCUUUAGCCAAAAGAACUAAAAUUGGCAUACUAUAGUGAUGCAGCCACAUCAAUGUUUAUAGCAGCACAAUUCAUAAUAGCCAAAUUAUGGAACCAGCCCAGGGACCUGUUGAUAAAUGAAUGGAUUAAAAUGGUAUAUAUACACAAUGGAGUUUGAUUCAGCCAUAAAGAAUGAAAUUAUGGCAUGUCUGGUAAAUGGGUGGAAACAGAGAACCUCAAGCUAAAUGAAAUAAGCCAGACACAGAAAAGAGUCAGAUGUUUUCUCUGAUAGGCAGAAACUAAAGCAAAAUGGGAAAAAUCAGAUAUCAUAAAGAUGGAGAAGAUCCAGUGGAAAAGAAGGAGAUCAAGAGGGAGGGAGGAGGGACAGGAAAGGAGGGGAAGGAAUGUAGAAUGAAUUUGACAAAAUCAUACUAUGUGCAACUGUAAAAAUACCACAGAGAAUUCUACCUUUAUGUAUAUCUAUGAAAUACCAAUCAAAAAAUUAAUAGUUGAGUGAAAGGAAAAAAAUUAAAAUAUUGCCUUGAAACAAUUGACACUCUGCUUUUAUCUGGUUUCCAGGGGAACAGAACUAAAAAAGUGAAUAAAUGCCAAGUCUGAAGGAAGAGAAGGAACUAACCUCUGGGGUCAGAAUUAAAUGUUGUUUAAGAAAAGCAGAGCCAAAAAUGAUUAAAGAAAAAGAAAACCAAAUAAAGCCCUCAACUGGUGGAAUUGUUUCACCAAGUCAGGCAUUCUAAUAAUGACCAGUCAUCCAAAGUAGCUGGGCUGGCCUUGGGCAGGCCCUUGCACACGAGGUGUGGUGCAGGAAAGGCCACUCCAUGGAGCCCAGCACUCCACCCACCCACGAAGCAGGAAGACACCAUUGACUCAUUGCUAAGGAAAUCUGGAGGAAGACACCAAGUACUUCAGGAGAUAAUGAUGUGCAGGAGCCCAGGAGUGCAGCUCAGAGGGAGACCACUUGCCUAAUGUGCUUGAGGCCCUAACUAGUUCCAUCCCCAGCACCACAGUGGGGGGAAAAAAAGUUAACCCAAGAGCCUAGCCUCUACUAAGGGAUGGUCAGGGAAGAACUGGGCAUUUUUCUGGACGCCCUCCCCAUCUUCGACUCCUCCUGCCUGCUGGCCAGGUGGACUUCUAUACUUAGCUCCAUUGUCUAGACCAUUAGUCCUGAGGAGUAUCCACAGCACCCCUCGUUGGCGUCCUUGUGGAACUUAAAUCUUUCUCUGGGAUGUGGCACUGGUGAGCCAAGUUGAUGCACUGCCCCUGCUCUCACAUGGGGUGCCACAGCAAUUCCUAGAAAGAGCCUGAGCUGGCUUACUCCACCUUACAGCCAGGCACCCCACCCUGCCAGCCCUCAGAGUUUUGCAGCCUUUGCUGCAGUCUGGCUGGGCACAAAUAACUGAGCUGCCACAAAGCCUUGUAGAUUCAAACAGCAGCUCUUUAUUCCCCAACUCUCACCGGCACUGCACACACCACACGGGAACACACUCCCUCACCUGGGCUCCGUCCAAUCUCUCUGAACCCCUGUGAGAACUCAGGGGAACUUCAAGGUAGCAGGCACCGGAGGCAGCAGGAGCCGCCUUAUUGCCCGCCAGUAAAGGUCAAAUAUACAAUACAAUCAAUCCAGCAUCACAGCAAUUAUAUAUAGCUUAACUCAAAUCAUCAUCUCAAUGGUUUGCUGGCGUCACCUUUCAACCAUUCCCUCUGGCAAAUGCCAGGCAUCAUUCUGACUGGGCUGUGGCUCUCAACAAGUCUCUUUACCCUAACUCACCCCAAAUCAUUGCAUCUGGUUUUGCUCCCACAUUCCAUUAGGCUUCAAACCCCUAGUCCAGGAACAAUGACAGCCAGGCAUCAGAACUGGGUGCUUAGCCUAUAAUACCAAAGCCACUGCAGGUGCUCUCAGAGGCUAGCAGCCAACAGCAGGAUGGACCCUGGGGCAGAGCUCCUUGAGUCUCAGAGAAACCCUACAGGUGACUGGGCCUGGACCCAUAAAAGGUGAGGCAGGAAUCUAUAUGCAGUUGGUGGUUUGCUAGACAGGACUAAGGGCCAAAGCUGGAGCAUCAUGGGUCCCAAGAGCUCAAAGGCCAUGUCCACAGUAUUCCUACCAGAAUUUGCUUUUUUAACAUUACUGUCUCUCCCACAGGUAUCUGAGAUUCCCUGUCCCCCUUCUCCUUGAUUAGCCCCCCUGGGCAAUUAGCAAAAACUAAAUUUGGGAGUUGAGAGGAAGAAAGAAGGCAGAUGUCCAUCCCCAAUUCAGGUUCAGUGAUCAUGGCUGUGUAGAUCGUCACAUGGGCACUCCAGAGAAGGUGAAAGGGGAAUUCCACUGCAUCUCUGUGCUCCAUCUUGGGUCCCCAGCUCUCAUUCCAAGAGUCUUAAAUUCCAGAGCUUUUUUCCUUCAGUGCCAAAUGAGGCUUGCCAAUAAGAUCACAGACAUCCAGCAAGAGGAUUAAAAGAUAAUGCUUUCCCAAUUCCAUCACCGCAUGAGUGGCCUGCCAAGCACCUCGACUUCUAAACCAUAGCAAUGAGCCUGGGAUGAGGUAAAGAGCCCUGUUCAAUUACAAUGCAUUUCUGUAUUUAAAAGACUAUUUUUAAAAUUGUAUUUAGUGAUUAUAAUAAAAGGCAGUUUUUACCUCUACCCCCAAAGGAAGUGAAAUGAAUGUUCAGCUCAUAUACGUCUGUUAAAGGCUAUGGAAAAAUGGGUGACAACGUGACUUAGAGAGAUUGCCAGUGAGGGCGGGAAAGCUUUGACAUGCAACUUGGCAUGGGAAAUCUCAUGCCAAACAGCUGCCUGUGGCAAGGCAGUGAGAUAAGGAAGGAGAACACUCCUGGUUGGUUCAUGUGUUUCACCCCAGGACUCUUCUGUGGCCAGCUGUCUCUUUUCACACAACCCAACACAACUGGCGUUAACCAUCCUGAAACAGCUGCAGCCGAGCUGUCCAGUGCUGUGAGAACACCUCAUGGAUGACACAGUUGAGAAAGGCUGGAAGAAGGGCUCAGGGAUCCCAGGACAUCUCAGGCUGUCCCUUCAUUACUCUCAGGGCUAUGGAGACAGCUGAGGCAGACCUGGCUCCAGGCCUGGGCAAGGACAGUGCAGCUGCCCAGUCUUCUCAGAGCCCCACACUGCCACCAUGAAGGGCUGGGGCUUCUUCCCUUCCCCCACACCAUCGUCUCUCCUCCAGUUCCCCACUUGAGCUUCUGCUCCCAUCCCUAAGGGAAACAAAACUUAACAUCUUCAGAAUGGCUGCCUGCUGUCAAGCAGUCCUUCAGUCAGUCGAAGCAUCACCUCUGUCCUCCACGCUCACUCCCCAUAACCAGAAGCUUCCAGAAGCAGCAUGAGAGAGAAUAUGUUGAAAUACACUUACCAAAGUCCCCACUUGCCAGGAGCAGGUCCCUGCAUUUGGAGAGGCUGUGCAUGACCCAUGUCUUCGUCCCAGUCAAACAACAGGUAACAACCCUGUACUUCAAAAGAGACAACAACACUUGAUCUAUUUUUCAGGACUCUUCUAGAUAGCAACUUUUGUCCCUGGCAUAGAGAAGGGCCUGUUGUCAGGGGUGGUUCUGGAAGCUACCCUGUGUAUUUUGGUCCAUCCUGGGAGCAGCUGGGACUCUCUGCCUUCCUUCUCUGUCUCUGUGGUCCUGACCAGUUAGUUUCUGCCCAUCUGUGAGGCCCCCAGGAGGCUUGGCACACCUGAGUCUCCUGUGAGGUCCUGGGCCAUCUGAAAGCCCAGGGCCCUGGGAGGAACAGUCCACAGGAGGGAAUCCUGAGAACAAAAAAGGAAGUAUAGGUUUUAAGCACCAGGACCAAAAGUGGUGGCAACUGGGUGGCCUGCGUGGGCAUUGGGGCCUAGAAAGGCACUGCAAAGGGAGGAAUUAUGUCUUCAGCCCCUACUUUCUGAAAGCUGCCCAGAAGGAGCCCCAUGAUCAAGCUUAUGUGGUUGGUGGGCAGCCAUGUCUGCAGGUGUGGGAGAGGCCUUGUCCACAGCUGACCAAGAAGGCAUUGUUGACCCUCAUGAGAUCACAGAGGCAGUUGUGCAGGCCCCACCCAUUUCCCAGGACCCUGGUUCUCCCUGCCUCCAUGCUAAGCUCUAAGUGCCCUGGGAGGUGCUAGUAGGGGUCGGGGUUGUGGGAGCUCAGAACUGGCACCUCUCAUGUUCCUCCAGGAGCCAGAAGGAUAUGAAGGACUUAGGCCUCUUUCCUCCUAUUCCUGUUUGCCUUGAAUGCCCCUGCCCCAGCCGCGGUGGCUCCCAGACCCCACCUGCCUCCAGGAUCCAACCUGAAAAGAUGCAGGCUGGUGGCACCUACCACACCAGCCAGAGGCUGGCUGUGUGGGGGUGAGUGGAGGGACUGGUAUGUGCACAGGCACAGCUCCUGGGCCUGGGGGCAAGGCACAGGAGCCCAGCUCUAAAC